This 393-nucleotide unclassified non-coding RNA is filed under the name soil metagenome. Its description in RNAcentral is "partial contains 5.8S ribosomal RNA, internal transcribed spacer 2, and large subunit ribosomal RNA". The stretch from base 1 to 122 matches the Rfam family "5.8S ribosomal RNA", at positions 35 to 154 of the family's 154-position model. The record is from RNAcentral.
GAUGAAGAACGUAGCGAAAUGCGAUACUUGGUGUGAAUUGCAGAAUCCCGUGAACCAUCGAGUCUUUGAACGCAAGUUGCGCCCGAAACCACUAGGCCGAGGGCACGCCUGCCUGGGCGUCACACGUCGUUGCCCCCCCCCCAUCUACUCCUUCGGGAUUGCGGGGGGCGGAUGAUGGCCUCCCGUGCGCCUAGCCGCGCGGUUGGCAUAAAUACCAAGUCCUCGGCGACGCACGCCACGACAAUCGGUGGUUGCGAAACCUCGGUUGCCCGUCGUGUGCGUUCGUCGCGCAUCGAGGGCUCGAAAAAAUGCUCGGCUCCGGCUCGGCUUUCAACGCGACCCCAGGUCAGGCGGGGUUACCCGCUGAAUUUAAGCAUAUCAAUAAGCGGAGGA